This 253-nucleotide ribosomal RNA is filed under the name uncultured bacterium. RNAcentral describes it as "partial 16S ribosomal RNA". It matches the Rfam family "Bacterial small subunit ribosomal RNA", at positions 524 to 776 of the family's 1533-position model. The record is from RNAcentral.
UACGAAGGGGGCUAGCGUUGUUCGGAAUUACUGGGCGUAAAGCGUGCGCAGGCGGCUUCUCAAGUCAGUGGUGAAAGCCCGGAGCUCAACUCCGGAAUUGCCAUUGAAACUGUGGAGCUUGAGGACGAGAGAGGUGAGUGGAAUUCCCAGUGUAGAGGUGAAAUUCGUAGAUAUUGGGAAGAACACCGGUGGCGAAGGCGGCUCACUGGCUCGUCUCUGACGCUCAGGCACGAUAGCGUGGGGAUCAAACAGG